RNAcentral lists this signal recognition particle RNA (98 nucleotides) under Mycoplasmopsis equigenitalium. RNAcentral describes it as "signal recognition particle sRNA small type". It matches the Rfam family "Bacterial small signal recognition particle RNA". Rfam says of the family: The signal recognition particle (SRP) is a universally conserved ribonucleoprotein involved in the co-translational targeting of proteins to membranes. Archaeal SRP consists of a 7S RNA and homologues of the eukaryotic SRP19 and SRP54 proteins. Lineage: Bacteria; Bacillati; Mycoplasmatota; Mycoplasmoidales; Metamycoplasmataceae. The record is from RNAcentral.
UACUUAAGCCGCUAAAAUGAUUACAGCAUAACCUGGUCAGGUUGGAAACAAAGCAGCCACAUUGCCUCGGAUCGUGUUUGGCGGUCAUUUUUUUUAUU